This 468-nucleotide ribosomal RNA is filed under the name uncultured bacterium. RNAcentral's name for it is "partial 16S ribosomal RNA". It matches the Rfam family "Bacterial small subunit ribosomal RNA", at positions 28 to 507 of the family's 1533-position model. The record is from RNAcentral.
GACGAACGCUGGCGGCGUGCUUAACACAUGCAAGUCGAACGGAAAGGCCCUGCUUUUGUGGGGUGCUCGAGUGGCGAACGGGUGAGUAACACGUGAGUAACCUGCCCUUGACUUUGGGAUAACUUCAGGAAACUGGGGCUAAUACCGGAUAGGAGCUCCUGCUGCAUGGUGGGGGGUGGAAAGUUUCGGCGGUUGGGGAUGGACUCGAGGCUUAUCAGCUUGUUGGUGGGGUAGGGGCUUACCAAGGGUUUGACGGGUAGCCGGCCUGAGAGGGUGACCGGCCACAUUGGGACUGAGAUACGGCCCAGACUCCUACGGGAGGCAGCAGUGGGGAAUAUUGCACAAUGGGCGGAAGCCUGAUGCAGCAACGCCGCGUGCGGGAUGACGGCCUUCGGGUUGUAAACCGCUUUCGCCUGUGACGAAGCGUGAGUGACGGUAAUGGGUAAAGAAGCACCGGCUAACUACGUG